This 1568-nucleotide ribosomal RNA is filed under the name Enterococcus hirae. RNAcentral's name for it is "bacterial SSU rRNA". It matches the Rfam family "Bacterial small subunit ribosomal RNA". Lineage: Bacteria; Bacillati; Bacillota; Bacilli; Lactobacillales; Enterococcaceae. The record is from RNAcentral.
UUUUAUGAGAGUUUGAUCCUGGCUCAGGACGAACGCUGGCGGCGUGCCUAAUACAUGCAAGUCGAACGCUUCUUUUUCCACCGGAGCUUGCUCCACCGGAAAAAGAGGAGUGGCGAACGGGUGAGUAACACGUGGGUAACCUGCCCAUCAGAAGGGGAUAACACUUGGAAACAGGUGCUAAUACCGUAUAACAAUCGAAACCGCAUGGUUUUGAUUUGAAAGGCGCUUUCGGGUGUCGCUGAUGGAUGGACCCGCGGUGCAUUAGCUAGUUGGUGAGGUAACGGCUCACCAAGGCGACGAUGCAUAGCCGACCUGAGAGGGUGAUCGGCCACAUUGGGACUGAGACACGGCCCAAACUCCUACGGGAGGCAGCAGUAGGGAAUCUUCGGCAAUGGACGAAAGUCUGACCGAGCAACGCCGCGUGAGUGAAGAAGGUUUUCGGAUCGUAAAACUCUGUUGUUAGAGAAGAACAAGGUUGAGAGUAACUGUUCAUCCCUUGACGGUAUCUAACCAGAAAGCCACGGCUAACUACGUGCCAGCAGCCGCGGUAAUACGUAGGUGGCAAGCGUUGUCCGGAUUUAUUGGGCGUAAAGCGAGCGCAGGCGGUUUCUUAAGUCUGAUGUGAAAGCCCCCGGCUCAACCGGGGAGGGUCAUUGGAAACUGGGAGACUUGAGUGCAGAAGAGGAGAGUGGAAUUCCAUGUGUAGCGGUGAAAUGCGUAGAUAUAUGGAGGAACACCAGUGGCGAAGGCGGCUCUCUGGUCUGUAACUGACGCUGAGGCUCGAAAGCGUGGGGAGCAAACAGGAUUAGAUACCCUGGUAGUCCACGCCGUAAACGAUGAGUGCUAAGUGUUGGAGGGUUUCCGCCCUUCAGUGCUGCAGCUAACGCAUUAAGCACUCCGCCUGGGGAGUACGACCGCAAGGUUGAAACUCAAAGGAAUUGACGGGGGCCCGCACAAGCGGUGGAGCAUGUGGUUUAAUUCGAAGCAACGCGAAGAACCUUACCAGGUCUUGACAUCCUUUGACCACUCUAGAGAUAGAGCUUCCCCUUCGGGGGCAAAGUGACAGGUGGUGCAUGGUUGUCGUCAGCUCGUGUCGUGAGAUGUUGGGUUAAGUCCCGCAACGAGCGCAACCCUUAUUGUUAGUUGCCAUCAUUUAGUUGGGCACUCUAGCAAGACUGCCGGUGACAAACCGGAGGAAGGUGGGGAUGACGUCAAAUCAUCAUGCCCCUUAUGACCUGGGCUACACACGUGCUACAAUGGGAAGUACAACGAGUCGCAAAGUCGCGAGGCUAAGCUAAUCUCUUAAAGCUUCUCUCAGUUCGGAUUGUAGGCUGCAACUCGCCUACAUGAAGCCGGAAUCGCUAGUAAUCGCGGAUCAGCACGCCGCGGUGAAUACGUUCCCGGGCCUUGUACACACCGCCCGUCACACCACGAGAGUUUGUAACACCCGAAGUCGGUGAGGUAACCUUUUGGAGCCAGCCGCCUAAGGUGGGAUAGAUGAUUGGGGUGAAGUCGUAACAAGGUAGCCGUAUCGGAAGGUGCGGCUGGAUCACCUCCUUUCUAAGGAA